GAGAGUUUGAUCCUGGCUCAGGAUGAACGCUAGCGACAGGCUUAACACAUGCAAGUCGAGGGGCAGCAUGAUUUGUAGCAAUACAGAUUGAUGGCGACCGGCGCACGGGUGAGUAACGCGUAUGCAACUUACCUAUCAGAGGGGGAUAGCCCGGCGAAAGUCGGAUUAAUACCCCAUAAAACAGGGGUCCCGCAUGGGAAUAUUUGUUAAAGAUUCAUCGCUGAUAGAUAGGCAUGCGUUCCAUUAGGCAGUUGGCGGGGUAACGGCCCACCAAACCGACGAUGGAUAGGGGUUCUGAGAGGAAGGUCCCCCACAUUGGUACUGAGACACGGACCAAACUCCUACGGGAGGCAGCAGUGAGGAAUAUUGGUCAAUGGCCGAGAGGCUGAACCAGCCAAGUCGCGUGAAGGAAGAAGGAUCUAUGGUUUGUAAACUUCUUUUAUAGGGGAAUAAAGUGGAGGACGUGUCCUUUUUUGUAUGUACCCUAUGAAUAAGCAUCGGCUAACUCCGUGCCAGCAGCCGCGGUAAUACGGAGGAUGCGAGCGUUAUCCGGAUUUAUUGGGUUUAAAGGGUGCGUAGGUGGUGAUUUAAGUCAGCGGUGAAAGUUUGUGGCUCAACCAUAAAAUUGCCGUUGAAACUGGGUUACUUGAGUGUGUUUGAGGUAGGCGGAAUGCGUGGUGUAGCGGUGAAAUGCAUAGAUAUCACGAAGAACUCCGAUUGCGAAGGCAGCUCACUGGAGCGCAACUGACGCUGAAGCUCGAAAGUGCGGGUAUCGAACAGGAUUAGAUACCCUGGUAGUCCGCACGGUAACGAUGGAUGCCCGCUGUUGGUCUGAAUAGGUCAGCGGCCAAGCAAAAGCAUUAAGCAUCCCACCUGGGGAGUACGCCGGCAACGGGGAAACUCAAAGGAAUUGACGGGGGCCCGCACAAGCGGAGGAACAUGUGGUUUAAUUCGAUGAUACGCGAGGAACCUUACCCGGGCUUGAAUUGCAGAGGAAGGAUUUGGAGACAAUGACGCCCUUCGGGGCCUCUGUGAAGGUGCUGCAUGGUUGUCGUCAGCUCGUGCCGUGAGGUGUCGGCUUAAGUGCCAUAACGAGCGCAACCCCUCUCCUUAGUUGCCAUCAGGUUAAGCUGGGCACUCUGGGGACACUGCCACCGUAAGGUGUGAGGAAGGUGGGGAUGACGUCAAAUCAGCACGGCCCUUACGUCCGGGGCUACACACGUGUUACAAUGGCAGGUACAGAGAGACGGUCCAAUGCAAAUUGGAUCAAAUCCUUAAAGCCUGUCUCAGUUCGGACUGGGGUCUGCAACCCGACCCCACGAAGCUGGAUUCGCUAGUAAUCGCGCAUCAGCCAUGGCGCGGUGAAUACGUUCCCGGGCCUUGUACACACCGCCCGUCAAGCCAUGAAAGCCGGGGGCGCCUAAAGUCCGUGACCGUAAGGAGCGGCCUAGGGCGAAACUGGUAAUUGGGGCUAAGUCGUAACAAGGUAGCCG
This 1493-nucleotide ribosomal RNA is filed under the name uncultured bacterium. RNAcentral's name for it is "partial 16S ribosomal RNA". It matches the Rfam family "Bacterial small subunit ribosomal RNA". The record is from RNAcentral.